CCUACGGGGGGCAGCAGUGGGGAAUAUUGCGCAAUGGGGGGAACCCUGACGCAGCAACGCCGCGUGAAGGAAGAAGGUCUUCGGAUUGUAAACUUCUUUGAUGAGGGACGAACAAAAUGACGGUACCUCAAAAACAAGCCACGGCUAACUACGUGCCAGCAGCCGCGGUAAUACGUAGGUGGCGAGCGUUGUCCGGAAUUACUGGGUGUAAAGGGCGUGUAGGCGGGGAUGCAAGUCAGAUGUGAAAUACCGAGGCUUAACCUCGGGGCUGCAUCUGAAACUGUG
RNAcentral lists this ribosomal RNA (285 nucleotides) under uncultured Clostridium sp. RNAcentral's name for it is "partial 16S ribosomal RNA". It matches the Rfam family "Bacterial small subunit ribosomal RNA", at positions 338 to 637 of the family's 1533-position model. The record is from RNAcentral. Lineage: Bacteria; Bacillati; Bacillota; Clostridia; Eubacteriales; Clostridiaceae.